GCUCUAGUGGAUCAGUGGUUAGAGCAUAGGGUCAACACCACCACGACCCAGGUUCGAAUCCCGACACGAGAC
RNAcentral lists this transfer RNA (72 nucleotides) under Anguilla anguilla (European eel). RNAcentral's name for it is "tRNA-OTHER". The record is from RNAcentral. Lineage: Eukaryota; Metazoa; Chordata; Actinopteri; Anguilliformes; Anguillidae.